This 72-nucleotide transfer RNA is filed under the name Camelus bactrianus (Bactrian camel). It matches the Rfam family "tRNA". Rfam says of the family: Transfer RNA (tRNA) molecules are approximately 80 nucleotides in length. Their secondary structure includes four short double-helical elements and three loops (D, anti-codon, and T loops). Further hydrogen bonds mediate the characteristic L-shaped molecular structure. tRNAs have two regions of fundamental functional importance: the anti-codon, which is responsible for specific mRNA codon recognition, and the 3' end, to which the tRNAs corresponding amino acid is attached (by aminoacyl-tRNA synthetases). tRNAs cope with the degeneracy of the genetic code in two manners: having more than one tRNA (with a specific anti-codon) for a particular amino acid; and 'wobble' base-pairing, i.e. permitting non-standard base-pairing at the 3rd anti-codon position. Lineage: Eukaryota; Metazoa; Chordata; Mammalia; Artiodactyla; Camelidae. The record is from Rfam by way of RNAcentral. RNAcentral also lists the same sequence under 2 other names.
GAAGGUAUGGCUCAGUGGUAGAGUAUGUGCCUACCAUUCACAAGGUCCUAGGUUCAAUCUCCAGUUCCUCCA